GGCCUUUCUAGAAUGUUUCUUUAGCUCUUUAGGGGGAAGUGAUCUUGUGUUGGGUCUCCACCAUCCCCCUCACCUUG
Long non-coding RNA from Hibiscus syriacus, 77 nucleotides. RefSeq lists it as uncharacterized. The record is from RefSeq and is a predicted model, not a curated record. NCBI's taxonomy places the organism in Eukaryota, Viridiplantae, Streptophyta, Magnoliopsida, Malvales, Malvaceae. The transcript has 3 exons.